Molecule: ribosomal RNA, 253 nt
Filed under: uncultured bacterium
Lineage: Bacteria
Description: partial 16S ribosomal RNA
Rfam family: Bacterial small subunit ribosomal RNA
Source: RNAcentral
GACGUAGGGCGCGAGCGUUGUCCGGAUUUAUUGGGCGUAAAGAGCUCGUAGGCGGCUUGUCGCGUCGACUGUGAAAUCCCGCGGCUCAACCGCGGGUCUGCAGUCGAUACGGGCAGGCUAGAGUUCGGUAGGGGAGACUGGAAUUCCUGGUGUAGCGGUGAAAUGCGCAGAUAUCAGGAGGAACACCGAUGGCGAAGGCAGGUCUCUGGGCCGAUACUGACGCUGAGGAGCGAAAGCAUGGGGAGCAAACAGG